CAGUAAACAGACAGACUGAAGAUAGAACAGAAAAAAGCAUAGAGUUUUUACAAAAGUUAUCAAAGUUUAACAAAACAGAUAGCCAAACAACUAAAACAGUAAGUUUAGACAUCAUUCAUUUAACCAAAGAUGCAUGUUCAUCCUUGAUUGGUUUCUACUAUUUAUACAACUUUGUACUGAAAAUCAGCUCUAUACCUCAAUAUCAGUAGUCCAUUUUCAUAUUGCUGAAUUGAUCAUUUUUCAACAGGUAAUAUCUGCUCUGUGGUAAGACAUCCUGGUAUUCAGUCAAGCAGGAGCAAUGCAAAUAAGUAAAUUCAAGAUUUUAAUAUGUACAAUUUUGAGGAAAAGAUAAGUGUUGAUGCUUUCUAUACAUUACUAAAUCAUCAGAAAAUUGUUAAUUUCCCCCAAAUUGCACCGAUCAUAUAUUUGAUUUUACAUUUUUGGUUGCUCAUAAUUGACUGAGUACCAGGAUGUCCUACCACAGAGUAGGUAACCUGUGGAAUAAUUGUAGAACCUGGAGUCAAAUGUCAGUAAUAUAAAAAUGGUCUAUUAAAUAGGAAAAGCAUAGCAAUAAGUCCAGGGACUGUUCUUUAGCCAGCCAGAAUUACAAAUAAACCAUAUCUGACAACACAGAAAGUAAAAUGAACUUGCAUGGUGUUUUAAAGCAAGGUCAUCUGUCAAGAUACUCUGAUCAUAAGUAUUCAUUUGUUUAUAUGGUACUGUAAUCAUUACAUGCUUCUUUGUGCAGUAAUUAUCCCUCAUCACAAUAGUAAUUGUCUUUUUAUGUUUUUAAUAUCUGUAAGCUUUGUAACCAUCAAUCCUAUAGGACCUUUAUCCUAAACAAUUUCUUACUUAGUAGAAUUGCUUGUCAUCAUGUUUAGUUGAUUCAUUCCCACUGCCAUAAUUUUUAUGGAAGUUAUUAGAGGUUGACCAUUUUUGGCUAGGUAUGAUAAACUGUGAUUUAAAUUAACUGUUAGAGUUGCUCUCCACCUAUUGCAACUUAUUCAAAAUUCUGACCAAAUUGCAAUUUAUCAUUGAGCUUUCAUACUCAAUAAAAUAGCUUCUCAUUUUUUGUAUUUGAUCAUACUUUUAAUCUAUUUUGUGAAAGUUAUUGUAUUUCAAUUAUUUCUAUAUGCCUGUCAAAAUACCAGAAAUCUGUUUGUCCUCUAUCUUUCUGUCUGUCUGACUCGCAGAAUAUCCAUCAACACUUUGUAAAAUUAUUUUUGCUCUAAGGAUAGAGGCUCUUAUCCUAUCUUUUCCUAUCUUAUUAUUUUUUUAGUUUUGUUGUUUCAGAGUCACAUGUACAGAGUAAAUUGUGAUAUUCAAGAAAAUUUGAGAUAAUUUGAGUUUGCUUUGAUUGAUUUACAUAACUGCUUGAGUUGGAUUGACGGUCAGAUAAAGAAAAGAGAUUUUUUAAUUGUAAUUUACUACCUCUAGUUUACCAAAAUGGAUCAAAUAACUUCAAACUUAACUCUGGUUUUGGGAUUGAAGACAAGCUUUAGAAUUUGAAUUUGGUACUUCAUUGCAUUGUCAUUGGAACAUUGAACAAUAAUUUUUGACUUAAUAUCUAUAUGCCUUAAAGUAAUCUCAUGUUUUCUUCAAGGCCAUUUAUUGGCUUUUGAUUACAGUAAACGCCUUCUAAAGUUUCAUUUUAUUCUUGCAAAAAUUUCAAUUUGUAUGUGUAGAAGCUUUCAUACUUGGUGAAAUUGUCGUCAUAUGAAGUUAUCAAUGACCAUAAAUGUACCUUAAUUUAGAUUUGAUGACUUUUGCAGGAGUUCCUGCAUUUUUUUUGUUUAAUUAUUGCAUGCAAGCACUUAAUUAUGAAUAAUUUAGAUGUGAUGUUUUAUGAGUAUGAUGAUUGAUAUUCUGUUAAUAAAUUCAUCAUACAUUCAAUAAUCAGUGUUUAGGGAAUAUAUUUAAAUGUUGCAUCAUGCUCUUUGUGUCUGGCAUUGUUCUACAGUCUACUCUUGAGAGAUUAAUAUUGCACAGUUAUAUAGUGGCAAGGUCAAUUCUCUUAGAUCGCAUAAUCUUGUAUUAGUUACUAGGAAUUUUACUUAUAUAGUACUACAAAAGUUCAAUGCUUUGACAAACAAACGUCAUAAUAAAUAAAAAUAAAUAUGACCGACAUGAACCAACAAGAACCAACAACAACUAAUUACUGGCUACUACCUUGGGACAGGCACAUUAAGGUUGUGGUGUGGUAAAAAUUGUUUUAUAGCUUCAAUCCUGCUCCUAACCUUGGUUAACACAACAAAAGAAGCAGAGGUGGAUUGAGGGGGGGGGGGGAAUUUUGGUUGGUUAUAUAGGUAAUCACUAGCAUGACAGGAGCGGGCCCCUCUUAGGCAGUCAGUGGGCCCCACUUAUGAAAAUUUCUGGAUCCGCCACUGAGAAGAAAUUGUAAAAAUCACUUACAAAUGGCUGAGCUCAAAAGAUUGGUGAGACAAUAUUUCUACACUGGGAAAAGAAGGUUGAUUAGCUUUUCAAUCCAGAUAAUUAAUUAAGUCACUAUAUGUAAUGUCAUACUGUAUUGCUUUUUUAGAUUUUGAAGUAUAACAAAGGAAGAUUAUCCAAAAAUGAUGAAAAGAUGGAACCUGUAGAUAACUCCACUGUAUUUUCUAACACAGACUUUGACAAAUUUGAAGAUGAAUAUGAUUUUUUCUCAUGAUGCUAAUAAAAUAAUUUAAAAA
This 2687-nucleotide long non-coding RNA is filed under the name Mytilus galloprovincialis (Mediterranean mussel). Lineage: Eukaryota; Metazoa; Mollusca; Bivalvia; Mytilida; Mytilidae. The record is from RNAcentral.